UACGGGGGGGGCAAGCGUUGUUCGGAAUUACUGGGCGUAAAGGGCUCGUAGGCGGCCAACUAAGUCGGAUGUGAAAUCCCCAGGCUCAACCUGGGAACUGCAUCCGAUACUGGAUGGCUUGAAUUCGGGAGAGGGAUGCAGAAUUCCAGGUGUAGCGGUGGAAUGCGUAGAGAUCCGGAAGAACACCGGUGGCGAAGGCGGCCUGCUGGGCAGUUGCUGACACUGAGGCGCGACAGCGUGGGGAGCAAACAGG
This 253-nucleotide ribosomal RNA is filed under the name uncultured bacterium. RNAcentral's name for it is "partial 16S ribosomal RNA". It matches the Rfam family "Bacterial small subunit ribosomal RNA", at positions 524 to 776 of the family's 1533-position model. The record is from RNAcentral.